CAUCCCAGAUCCUUUGUAACCCAUUGGCCUUCACCUAUAAAAGCAAGCCCUCUGGCCCCUGUAGGACUCAGAGAGAGUUCUUGUGGUGUUUGUGGAAGCAGUGUUUGUAGGGCCUAAGUAUGGUUUUAUACUUUUCCCUGGGAACCACUUUGGGCCAGAUGGUAGCUGGACACAGGCGUAGCCACAUUGUAGCUUGGAUUGAUCAUGACAAGUAAACUGAAGCUGUUAGUUCAUUUAAUUGUCAGUUCUGUGCCUGUGCAGUAAGUCAGUCAAUGAUUCUUCUGAAAUGACUGCUGCUACAUCGCAUAGCUGCUCAUGUGGCCAUGGGAUGUGUAUUGAUGGGGCUAAUGGAGUCACUGAGCCAAGUUCAUAUCUAGCAAUGUCACAGCUCCCCAGAUAUUGGCCGUGGUGGUGAUUUGUUCUGCAGAGCAUCCUGAAAGCCCAGGCAGUAUCAAAAUCCAGUAUACUGGUUUGAGUGACAAUAGCCACAAGGCUGAAGAGGCUACAUGAAACUUGAAAGAAGACAGUAAACAGCAAAACCAGUGGUGUUGAUGGUGGUACAGGAUGCACAGGCUAGUUUUACAGUCAUUUAGAUGCAGCAUCACUUGGGAUACCUUAAAGUCAGAAUUUAUGAAUUAUUUUUAAAAUAUUAAGCUUAACAAUAAUAUUUUAAUUAAAAAGAACUUUAUGAUGGACUGUGCUGGCCAUUCUGAACCUAGCAAAAUAGAUGAUGAAUUUUUUUAUGAAACAGAUGAGAAGGGAGUCUUGAUGAAUGUUAGAAAGACCAGCAGCAAUCGUAGAAGUUAGUCCAAGGAAAAUUUGUCCUGAGUGCAGCAAUGGACCUAUUACUUAUCUGAAAACAUCUUGUAGAAAACAGCUGUUAGGUCACUAGUUCACCUCACCCAGAAGAUAGGAUUUCUCUUAACUGUAUUCUGUCUUGAGUUGUUUUCAUGUUAUUUUGAAAGCUAAUAUUAAUUUAACCCUAUUUUCCCUCACCUCAGAUACUGCUGCUAAUAAUUUCUGCCUCUUGGAUAUUUUGCAGCAUUUACAGACUCACCACUUCUGAUCACUGACUACCUUGGCCAUAUGUGAAGUAUUGGUAUAGAGAUGAAAACCUGUGUAUUCCACUAGUGACCCUUCUCUUCCUCCUUUGCAUCUAAAGAAAAUUAUGUUUUUUUAAUAGCUUCUUUUUCUUCCAAGAUUGCUCUCUCUUUGCCAAUCUCCUUAAGAAUGUCUUUGAGACUUAUCCUGGGACCAUAAUGAUUAUCUUCACCAAAGAACAAGAAAGUGGAACAACCUGUAGCAUCAGAGAAUUAUUCCUCACAUGUACAGUUGGAUAAGAUGGGAUUCAUGCAACAUCUCAGAAUAACUAAUUUCUUUUGGAGCAGAGGUUUCUUUUGUUGCUGCUGACUCCUUCCUUCCCUCACAUGCUGCUUAUCUGGGUGAAGAAUCAUGGCUGGAAUUUAUAAAUGCUUCUCUGUUGUGCAAAGGAACUUUGAUAGCAUGAAAUGAAUAACAGCUGGUUGGCAGAACCUCAGGGGGAUUCUGGGGCAAAUGAAAACAGCUCAUGAGUGGGAAAGGGUCCCACCCCUGCAUUCAAGUGAUGACACAACUGAGUGACUGCAUCUGCAU
Corvus hawaiiensis (hawaiian crow) is the source of this 1632-nucleotide long non-coding RNA. RefSeq lists it as uncharacterized. The transcript has 3 exons. Lineage: Eukaryota; Metazoa; Chordata; Aves; Passeriformes; Corvidae. The record is from RefSeq and is a predicted model, not a curated record.